Molecule: ribosomal RNA, 466 nt
Filed under: uncultured bacterium
Lineage: Bacteria
Description: partial 16S ribosomal RNA
Rfam family: Bacterial small subunit ribosomal RNA
Source: RNAcentral
GACGAACGCUGGCGGCGUGCUUAACACAUGCAAGUCGAACGGAAAGGCCCAGCUUGCUGGGUACUCGCGUGGCGAACGGGUGAGUAACACGCGGGUGAUCUGCCCUGCACUCUGGGAUAAGCCUGGGAAACUGGGUCUAAUACCGGAUAUGACCGACUGUCGCAUGGUGGUUGGUGGAAAGCUUUUGCGGUGUGGGAUGGGCCCGCGGCCUAUCAGCUUGUUGGUGGGGUAUUGGCCUACCAAGGCGACGACGGGUAGCCGACCUGAGAGGGUGAUCGGCCACACUGGGACUGAGACACGGCCCAGACUCCUACGGGAGGCAGCAGUGGGGAAUAUUGCACAAUGGGCGCAAGCCUGAUGCAGCGACGCCGCGUGAGGGAUGACGGCCUUCGGGUUGUAAACCUCUUUCACCAGGGACGAAGCGUGAGUGACGGUACCUGGAGAAGAAGCACCGGCCAACUACGUG